RNAcentral lists this long non-coding RNA (3217 nucleotides) under Homo sapiens (human). Its description in RNAcentral is "HSALNT0398258". The record is from RNAcentral. Lineage: Eukaryota; Metazoa; Chordata; Mammalia; Primates; Hominidae.
GGGAGAGAAAGAAAGGAGGUUAAGGAUGGGGCUGGAAGUGUGGCCACUAGGUUGAUCUCAGGGAGGGCAGGCCAGGGUGGGGAAGGCUUAGUUCCAGAUUAGCUCUAAAGGCUUGGGUUUGGAACUAUCUUUGCAUAGGAUCUAACUGACACAGUUAAGAGUCCAGACAGCAGGGCCAGAGAAGCAUGGACCCUUCUAGGAAAGAGAAUGCAGGGAAAACUCUUGGAAUAUCUUCGUUUAUGAUUCUAAGAAUAUGCUGAAGUUUACCAGUUGGAAAAAGGAGGGAGCAGCUGUUAAAGAUUAACCAUGGUUAAGAUUAAGGUGAUAAGGAAGGAGGAAGGAAGCUGAGUAAGAUUGGCAAGUGGAGAACUGGGGUGCAGGAUUGUCUUGGAGAUAGGAUUGGGCUUGAGUAGGUCUUUUUUUGUUUGUUUGCUUUUUGUUUUUUGAGACAGGGUCUUACUCUGUCACCCAGACUGGAGUGCAGUGGUGCCAUCUUGACUCACUGCAGCCUUGAACUCCAGGGCUCAAACGAUCCUCUCACUUCAGCUUCCUGAGUAGGUGAGACUACAGACAUGUGCCACCAUGCCCAGGUAAUUUUCUAUUUUCUGUAGAGACGGACAGUAGGUCUAAAAUUUGGGGCUCUCCUCAUUUGUUUUGCAGUUUCUGACACCAUGACUGUGGGUGAAGGUUGAGAGAUAAAGGAAAUGGAAAAAAAUGAUGGAAUAUGAAGGUUUUUUUAUGGAUGCAAUCACCUGACUAACAUAGUGAUCCAAGUUCAAAUAUUCCAUGGUUGAAAGCAUGUACAGGCAGGUGAAAACAUGUACAGGCAGCUUUUGAAAGCAUGUACAGGCAGGUGACAAUGAGAUUAUGUGAGCAAAAUAAGAGGAAGGGUGUUCGUUUUUGUCUUCUGUACUUGCAAAUGAAAAAUGUUCCCCUUAUACUAUAACCUUUUUCCUCUCCUGGGCUACUCCAUAUCAGAGAGUGAAUGCAGCCAAGUCCUACUCCAUGUUGUGGCUUGAGGAAGCUCAUGGCCUCCAGUACCACCGGCCAUUACCAAUGAACAUGAAACUAGAGAAGGUGGCUCUUCCCAUCUAUUUUAAUCCCCCUUCUACUAAACACCUUCUAAUUCUAUAUUUCCCAGGCACUGUAUCCUUAGAAGUUUCAAAAGAUGAUGCCCCAAACCACUUUGUUUACUCCCUGGAGAACUAUUUGGAGUCAUAUCCACAGUUUUCACGUGAUCUAGCAGAAGUGCACAGGCACCAUAAACUCCAAAAGAGAACCAGAGAAGAGUGACAGCUGCGAUUUUUUCAUGGAGUUGUUGUGAGGAUCCAAAGGGCAUGUGGUUCUAGAGUGCAGAUUGUAAUAAUAGUAAUAAUAGUAAGUGGCAGAUGAUAUGUGAUACAGCACCUGAGAGUGCAGCCCAGAUAAACAAAAUCACAAGGUAAACCAAUGCCUAUGAGGAAGGCAGCAGAUCUGGCAGGACCCGGGCAGUAAGGAAGCCAGCCCUCAGUGAUGACAACUGAUCUGACACUCCAUCCCCCACCUGCUGCCACAACUUGUGGGGGAGCCCUUACUCCUAAUCAUCCUGACCGCAUCAGUAACCUUAGGGAGGGCUCUUCUCUCCCAAGCUCCAUUCUUAGCCUCCCAUGCACGUUGAAGGGUAUUGGCCUCCUUUACAAAGCCUAAGAAGAUCAAGAAUCUGGAUAUUCUUGAUGAGCCUCACCUGCCAGCUUGGUUAUUCAAGAAAAGUUGUACAUGAAAUUAACAAGAAAAGCAUGUUAAUAUGAUGGAUUACACUGAGAGUGAUUUUUGAAAUAUUCUGCCAGGCUUACAUUCUGGAAUAAGCCCUACAUAGGCAUGAUGUGGGAAAUGGGAGACACACCGUGGUACACACACACAAUGGAAACUUUUGAGCAAUAAAAAGACAAGGAACUAUUUACAUACACCAUGACUUGGCAAGAUCUCAAAGGCACCGUGUCAGAUACAAGAAGUUGGUCUCAACAAUUACAUAGGUAAGAAUCAACUUAGCCUUUCCUGUGACACUCAGGAAAGGCAAAACUAUAGGAAAGAGUGAAUGCCAGGGGUUGGGGUUGGGUUUGGGGUGAUGGAACUGUUCUGUAACCUGAUUUUGAUCGUGACUACAUGAAUCUAUACCUGUGUUUAAAUCCAUUAAGUUGUGCAUAGAAAACAGUCAACUUACUGUAUGUUUUUAAAUAAAAUAAAAUCAGGGUGUGGAAACUGACCUUUGUAUUCACUUAUUUAUUCAGAAAUAAUUUUGAAUACAUAUUUUAUACUAAGUGCUGUUCUAGCUGCAAAGAAUAUAGCAGUGAGCAAAAUAAGGGGUUUAAUUUUGUUUAGAAGACACAGAAAAUAAACAUCGAGUAAGUAUAUUUGAUAUGAUAUGAUAUGAGAUAUGGUAUGAUAUGAUACGAUAUGAUACGAUAUCAACCAAUGAUGUAUGCCAUGGAAAAAAUAACAAAGGAGUUUAGGAGAUAGAGAAUUACGUGGACAGGUAUCAGCAAGUCAUGACUUGAGGGUCGACUGCCAGAAGCUAAGAAUAAUUGUGUUGUAUCAAUGGUCAAAAAGAUCAAAAGAGGAGUAACAUUUCAUGACACAUUUAAAAUAUAUGAAAUUAUAUGAAUUAUAUGAAGUUGGCAUUUCAGUAUCCAUAAAUAAGGUUUUACUGGAACACAGCCAUAUUCACUCAUUCAUUCAUGUAUUGUCUUCAUGCUUCUUCACUACAAUGGCAGAACUGAGUGGUUGCAGAAGAGACUUAUGUUUUGCAAAGCCUGACUCUUUACAUAAAAAGUAUGCCAACCGCUGCUGUAAACAAUGCUAAGUGAAGGUGGUCAGGGAAGGCCUCUGUGAUGAGUUAUUUUCUGAGCAGAGGCCUGACAGAGGUGAGAGGUGGGCCCACAGGUUACUGGAAGAAUCCCCUAAGGCUGUAGCCCCAGUUGGGGUUGCCUGCAUGGGGCAUUCAACAAAUAACAGAGGCCACGUGUUGGGUCUGAGUGAGGGAAUGUGAAGUGGCAAGUGAUGGGUCACAGUAGACCAAGGGCCUGUUUAUAUAGCUCAGUAGGCCACUGUGCACAAUCUUGAUUUUCUCUGAGCCACAGGGAAGCCCUUGGAGGGGGUUUGAGCAGAGACAAUAUCUAUAGUGCCUGGCAAAUGGGAAGGGGUUUAUAAAUGUGAGCUAUUGUUAUUACCAACAAUACCA